GACGAACGCUGGCGGCGUGCUUAACACAUGCAAGUCGAACGGAAAGGCCCUGCUUGCCGGGUACUCGAGUGGCGAACGGGUGAGUAACACGUGGGUGAUCUGCCCUGCACUUCGGGAUAAGCCUGGGAAACUGGGUCUAAUACCGGAUAGGAGCCAUUUUUAGUGUGAUGGUUGGAAAGUUUUUUCGGUGUAGGAUGAGCUCGCGGCCUAUCAGCUUGUUGGUGGGGUAAUGGCCUACCAAGGCGGCGACGGGUAGCCGGCCUGAGAGGGUGGACGGCCACAUUGGGACUGAGAUACGGACCAGACUCCUACGGGAGGCAGCAGUGGGGAAUAUUGCACAAUGGGCGCAAGCCUGAUGCAGCGACGCCGCGUGGGGGAUGACGGCCUUCGGGUUGUAAACUCCUUUCGCUAGGGACGAAGCUUUUUGUGACGGUACCUAGAUAAGAAGCACCGGCUAACUACGUG
RNAcentral lists this ribosomal RNA (465 nucleotides) under uncultured bacterium. Its description in RNAcentral is "partial 16S ribosomal RNA". It matches the Rfam family "Bacterial small subunit ribosomal RNA", at positions 28 to 507 of the family's 1533-position model. The record is from RNAcentral.